RNAcentral lists this ribosomal RNA (301 nucleotides) under uncultured bacterium. RNAcentral's name for it is "partial 16S ribosomal RNA". It matches the Rfam family "Bacterial small subunit ribosomal RNA", at positions 509 to 808 of the family's 1533-position model. The record is from RNAcentral.
CAGUCGCCACGGUAAUACGUAGGGUGCGAGCGUUAAUCGGAAUUACUGGGCGUAAAGCGUGCGCAGGCGGUUGUGUAAGACAGGUGUGAAAUCCCCGGGCUUAACCUGGGAACUGCGCUUGUGACUGCACAGCUAGAGUAUGGCAGAGGGGGGUGGAAUUCCACGUGUAGCAGCGAAAUGCGUAGAGAUGUGGAGGAACACCGAUGGCGAAGGCAGCCCCUGGGCCAAUACUGACGCUCAUGCACGAAAGCGUGGGGAGCAAACAGGAUUAGAUACCCCCGUAGUCCCUGUCUCUUAUACA